UAUCUACAGCUUCUUCUCUUUGUGAAGCUCAGGCCUCAUCCAUCCAGGCUCUGGGUUCAAGUCUUGUCAACCAAGAGGUAGAAGGUGUUGGGUGUACCAUUUUAUCAGAAAUGAGUUCAGUCUUGCCUGAAUUAUUUGAGGGAAUAUUUUUGCAUGAUUCUAUUUUGUCCCUAUCAAUCAAGUUGUGGGGUCUUAGACAAAGAUGUUGUUCCUCACACAGAUUCUAGAUAUUGAAUAUCACUAAAUGAAACAUGUAUGACCUUCCUUGUCUUGGUGAAGAAAGCCAUCAUAUGUGAGACAUAAAGGUCUACAUUAAGAAUAUUGAAAUUUUUUUACAGCUGACAUGAGGUGAACUUCAAACCGGGCAUCCUCCAUUAACCACAAAACCUGUGUAAACAUGGCUGAAAAUUAUGGUUUUAAAAGGUUCAAGUACUAUGGGCCAUUUUUGACAGAACAUAACUUAAAUUAGGCAAAGGUGGAAAUACAUUGAACUUCAAUUGCAGUCAUUGACCUUGUUCUUUGUUUAACUUUUGCAUAUAUUUGGCUCAUGAUUUGAAGUUCUAGAUUAUUUAGCAAACUAAUUCUCAUGUUUGCUCAAAACACCAGGUGAUUUACUGGUUGAAUACUGAAGUUUGGUGAUUGGAAGUUCAUUUGUAGCUCACAGAAGAUAGGGUGUAACUGUGUAUGUCUCCUAAAGAACUGAUUGAGGCAUGAGCCCCAUCUGGAGGUGACUUAUUCAUUAGGGAUCUCCUUGACUGGGUCCCUCAUGGAAUAAUAAUUGAUGAGGCACCUUUGUUUAAAUGACUUUUGAUUCACCGGACCUUCUCCUACUGACCUAAAAAUACCAUGGGUCGUCUGGCAUCAUCCCGGAAUCUCCUUUACCCCUUAUGGAAUAUAUUAAAGCAAGAAAGGAGCUUCAAGUACAGCAGCUGGUUAAAGAGAAAGGUACUUCAAUAACUCUUCUUUUCUUGUUUUUCAAACAUUUGGGCCACAUAUAUUGUAAAACUUGUCAAUAAUUAUAUUCCUUUCCUUGAAUUUGAGCUAUGUGCUUGCCAAUAAGGAAUACCAGUCUGGGACAGGAGAAGCAGAUGCUUGCUCAGGAAGAACCCCUCCUUGCUGUGACAGUGGACCCACAACUUAUUGGAUCCACCACAUAGAUCUUUCAGCAGACCAGCUGCAUGUAUGGCGCUGAGAUGGCAACGCUUUGAGAUCAAUCAUUGGAUUUUGAUUCCGGUUAUCAACUUCUUGGCCGCAACCCAAGAAAUCCGAAGUUCAAUCUGAUCUAAUUUACUUUUACGAUUUGUUGUUGGCCAUUGAGGCCUUCCUUUUUCUUUUUUUCUCCUUUAUUUUUCUGGUGAAAUUUCUUUUCCUCAGUUCUGCUUCGAUAUGGAUUACAGACUAAAAGCUAACAUGUACUGCCUUUGGAAUAUAUCUCUUAGGGGACUUUUAUGCAGUGUGAGCCUUGUUGAUUACUUUCAUAUUAGAAGAAAGUGUGCAGCAAUAAAUUAUUGGGAGCUUUUUGUCAUUUCAUGA
Long non-coding RNA from Vitis riparia (riverbank grape), 1533 nucleotides. RefSeq lists it as uncharacterized. The transcript is spliced from 3 exons. The record is from RefSeq and is a predicted model, not a curated record. NCBI's taxonomy places the organism in Eukaryota, Viridiplantae, Streptophyta, Magnoliopsida, Vitales, Vitaceae.